This 823-nucleotide ribosomal RNA is filed under the name uncultured bacterium. RNAcentral's name for it is "bacterial SSU rRNA". It matches the Rfam family "Bacterial small subunit ribosomal RNA", at positions 67 to 902 of the family's 1533-position model. The record is from RNAcentral.
AGAACGGGUUAUAGCUUGCUAUAACUGUCAGCUAAGUGGCGCACGGGUGAGUAAUGUAUAGAUAACGUGCCUCUUACAAGGGAAUAACAGUUGGAAACGACUGCUAAUGCCCUAUAUGCCUUUAUGUCAUAAGACAGCAAGGGAAAGUUUUUUCGGUAAGAGAUCGGUCUGUAUGGUAUCAGCUUGUUGGUGAGGUAAUGGCUCACCAAGGCAAUGACGCCUAACUGGUUUGAGAGGAUGAUCAGUCACACUGGAACUGAGACACGGUCCAGACUCCUACGGGAGGCAGCAGUGGGGAAUAUUGCACAAUGGACGAAAGUCUGAUGCAGCAACGCCGCGUGGAGGAUGACACAUUUCGGUGCGUAAACUCCUUUUAUAUAUGAAGAUAAUGACGGUAAUAUAUGAAUAAGCGCCGGCUAACUCCGUGCCAGCAGCCGCGGUAAUACGGAGGGCGCAAGCGUUACUCGGAAUCACUGGGCGUAAAGAGCGUGUAGGCGGGUAAAUAAGUUGGAAGUGAAAUCCUAUGGCUCAACCAUAGAACUGCUUCCAAAACUGUUAACCUAGAAUAUGGGAGAGGUAGAUGGAAUUUCUGGUGUAGGGGUAAAAUCCGUAGAGAUCAGAAGGAAUACCGAUUGCGAAGGCGAUCUACUGGAACAUUAUUGACGCUGAGACGCGAAAGCGUGGGGAGCAAACAGGAUUAGAUACCCUGGUAGUCCACGCCCUAAACGAUGUACACUAGUUGUUGCUAUGCUAGACAUAGCAGUAAUGCAGUUAACACAUUAAGUGUACCGCCUGGGGGAGUACGGUCGCAAGAUUAAAACUC